This 468-nucleotide ribosomal RNA is filed under the name uncultured bacterium. RNAcentral's name for it is "partial 16S ribosomal RNA". It matches the Rfam family "Bacterial small subunit ribosomal RNA", at positions 28 to 507 of the family's 1533-position model. The record is from RNAcentral.
GACGAACGCUGGCGGCGUGCUUAACACAUGCAAGUCGAACGGAAAGGCCCUGCUUUUGUGGGGUGCUCGAGUGGCGAAGGGGUGAGUAACACGUGAGUAACCUGCCCUUGACUUUGGGAUAACUUCAGGAAACUGGGGCUAAUACCGGAUAGGAGCUCCUGCUGCAUGGUGGGGGAUGGAAAGUUUCGGCGGUUGGGGAUGGACUCGCGGCUUAUCAGCUUGUUGGUGGGGUAGUGGCUUACCAAGGCUUUGACGGGUAGCCGGCCUGGGAGGGUGACCGGCCACAUUGGGACUGGGAUACGGCCCAGACUCCUACGGGAGGCAGCAGUGGGGAAUAUUGCACAAUGGGCGGAAGCCUGAUGCAGCAACGCCGCGGGCGGGAUGACGGCCUUCGGGGUGGAAACCGCUUUCGCCUGUGACGAAGCGUUAGUGACGGGAAUGGGUAAAGAAGCACCGGCUAACUACGUG